GAAAUGCGAUAAGUAAUGUGAAUUGCAGAGUUCAGUGAAUCAUCGAAUCUUUGAACGCACAUUGCGCCCAUUAGUAUUCUAAUGGGCAUGCCUGUUCGAGCGUCAUUUCAACCCUCAAGCCUUAGUUGCUUGGUGUUGGGAGCUUAUCCUGCCGCAAGGCGGGACAACUCCUUAAAUUUAUUGGCGGAGUCGCGGUGACCCCAAGCGCAGUAAUUCCUUUUCUCGCUUUAGGUGUUAACGCUGGCUUCUAGCCAUUAAACCCCCUAAUUUUCUAAUGGUUGACCUCGGAUCAGGUAGGACUACCCGCUGAACUUAAGC
RNAcentral lists this unclassified non-coding RNA (318 nucleotides) under plant metagenome. Its description in RNAcentral is "partial contains 5.8S ribosomal RNA, internal transcribed spacer 2, and large subunit ribosomal RNA". The stretch from base 1 to 105 matches the Rfam family "5.8S ribosomal RNA", at positions 50 to 154 of the family's 154-position model. The record is from RNAcentral.